RNAcentral lists this ribosomal RNA (465 nucleotides) under Vreelandella stevensii. RNAcentral's name for it is "partial 16S ribosomal RNA". It matches the Rfam family "Bacterial small subunit ribosomal RNA", at positions 338 to 795 of the family's 1533-position model. The record is from RNAcentral. Lineage: Bacteria; Pseudomonadati; Pseudomonadota; Gammaproteobacteria; Oceanospirillales; Halomonadaceae.
CCUACGGGAGGCAGCAGUGGGGAAUAUUGGACAAUGGGGGGAACCCUGAUCCAGCCAUGCCGCGUGUGUGAAGAAGGCCCUCGGGUUGUAAAGCACUUUCAGUGAGGAAGAACGCCUGGUGGUUAAUACCCAUCAGGAAAGACAUCACUCACAGAAGAAGCACCGGCUAACUCCGUGCCAGCAGCCGCGGUAAUACGGAGGGUGCGAGCGUUAAUCGGAAUUACUGGGCGUAAAGCGCGCGUAGGUGGCUUGAUAAGCCGGUUGUGAAAGCCCCGGGCUCAACCUGGGAACGGCAUCCGGAACUGUCAAGCUAGAGUGCAGGAGAGGAAGGUAGAAUUCCCGGUGUAGCGGUGAAAUGCGUAGAGAUCGGGAGGAAUACCAGUGGCGAAGGCGGCCUUCUGGACCGACACUGACACUGAGGUGCGAAAGCGUGGGUAGCAAACAGGAUUAGAUACCCUUGUAGUC